UCCAAUCUUUCUGCUAUGAAACUGCGGUUGUACACAAUCUAUUAGAAUUUACAGUUUCCUUUUCCGUUUCCUGAAAGAGAUGGUGUCGAAAGGACCCGCUUGCAGGUUGCCGAAAUGGUGUGGUAGGCUGCAGCUGCACCUUAAGCAGCCAUUUGUUAACAUCUUCAUGCACCACAUUUUAAAGCCGUAAAUCCAUAUACAGUUACUAUAAAUGAUAGAUCUGUUGUUUGCGGAGGCCAAGGGAUGUUUUCAUUCACCCAGUAGUGAAGGAUCCUUCAUAUAGAAUGAGCAGACACAUCUCCUGCUGCGAAUCAGGAAUGACCUCAUUUCCCUG
RNAcentral lists this long non-coding RNA (334 nucleotides) under Physcomitrium patens. RNAcentral's name for it is "long non-coding RNA (PPAT_LNC006405)". The record is from RNAcentral. Lineage: Eukaryota; Viridiplantae; Streptophyta; Bryopsida; Funariales; Funariaceae.